Oncorhynchus tshawytscha (Chinook salmon) is the source of this 1007-nucleotide long non-coding RNA. The record is from Ensembl. Lineage: Eukaryota; Metazoa; Chordata; Actinopteri; Salmoniformes; Salmonidae.
CUGGCUUCUGGACUGUAGCAUCACACACGCACGUAUGCAUGCUGUGGAUGGAGAGGGAUGGAGGUGUGUGUCAUGCUCCAGUCCAUGUCCCUAUGUCCCUCCAUGUCAUGUCCCUCUUAUCUACCUGUUUUCCAUAUUGUUCUCUCUAUGAUAUUAGUACUCCUCUACAGUAGUAUCCCGACAGGCCCCUUUGUUGAUUCUAUUACUAAUACUGUAUGUCCAACCACAGACUCUCAACAUCCGUGCUAGCUAUUUAGAAUGCUAGUAGCAUGCUAGGGUUGACAUCGGCACAGAUAUAUCAAGGCACUGCACUCAUCAAGUACAGCUCGGGUUUGUUUCUACUCCACUGGCGCUGUCUAGGUUACUAUCAACAUGUCUGCAUUAUUCCAUCUCUCUUGACAAUACAAUUUUAAGAUGCAAACUGGUUGAAAUGACAUCCUUAGAACCUGGGUACUAUUAUUCCAUGCAUCCAGGGAAAGGCAUCACAUCAGAACCACCUAUAAUGUGGAGUCCAGCCCAUCUCUGAAUCAGACCCGUCUAUUGGUGAUGACCUACGUCCACAAGGUAAGUGCCACGGCAACCAUCAGUCUCUGUUCUGGACAUCAAUGACAUCAGCCCAGAGUGCCAGUCGUCUCUUAUAUUGUGAGAGGAGUCUACAGGCCUACUUCCACUCCUUUGUCUCAACUGUUGUCUUUUCGCUUCUCUUCUGUCUUUCCAUUUGUGCAUGUCCUCUCCCCUCUGCUUUGAUUCCUCGCCCCUCCUUUACCAUUCUCCACAGCCACAACACUACUUUUCAUUUCCCCUUUCCUGUACUUGUGAAAGGCUGUGCAGUUAUCUUCCGUAAGGUGAACCAACAGGAUCCUUUCUUCACUUCCUGUGUAUCUGUGGGUUUGAAAGAGAAUGCUCCUCGGGUUACCGUGGUAACCAUAGUCCGUACCACAGACCGAGACUGCCCCCAUCUGGUCAGAUACAAGAUUACAGGUGGAGCCGGAACAUUGAUGUGCUGU